This 1120-nucleotide ribosomal RNA is filed under the name Verrucaria rosula. RNAcentral describes it as "eukaryotic LSU rRNA". It matches the Rfam family "Eukaryotic large subunit ribosomal RNA", at positions 1 to 1124 of the family's 3401-position model. Lineage: Eukaryota; Fungi; Ascomycota; Eurotiomycetes; Verrucariales; Verrucariaceae. The record is from RNAcentral.
GGUUGACCUCGGAUCAGGUAGGGAUACCCGCUGAACUUAASCAUAUCAWUAASCGRAGGAAAARAAACCAACRGGRAUUGCCUCAKUAACGGCRAGUGAASCGGCAACRGCUCAAAUUURAAAUCUGGYUCCUCUAGGGGUCCRAGUUGWAAUUUGUARAGRAKGCUUCGGGCAAGGCUGUGGUCUAAUUUGCUUGGAACAGCGAGUCAUAGAGGGUGAGAAUCCCGUCUAGGAUCGUAAGCCGCGUCCAUGUGAAGCUCCUUCGACRAGUCGAGUUGUUUGGGAAUGCAGCUCUAAAUGGGUGGUAAAUUUCAUCUAAAGCUAAAUAUUGGCCAGAGACCGAUAGCGCACAAGUAGAGUGAUCGAAAGAUGAAAAGCACUUUGAAAAGAGAGUUAAACAGUAUGUGAAAUUGUUGAAAGGGAAGCGCUUGCAAUCAGACUUGUGUCUGACGGUUCCCCCGGCCUUCUGGCCGAGCUACUCCGUCAUGUCCAGGCCAACAUCGGUCUGGGGGGUCGGUGAAAGACCCCGGGAAUGUAUCUACCUUCGGGUCGACUUAUAGCCCGGGGUGUAAUGCGGCCUCCCCGGACCGAGGAACGCGCUUCGGCUCGGAUGUUGGCGUAAUGGUUGUAAGCGGCCCGUCUUGAAACACGGACCAAGGAGUCUAACAUCUAUGCGAGUGUUUGGGUGUCAAACCCCUACGCGUAAUGAAAGUGAACGGAGGUAAGAACCCCGCAAGGGGCGCAUUAUCGACCGAUCCUGAUGUCUUCGGAUGGAUUUGAGUAAGAGCAUAGCUGUUGGGACCCGAAAGAUGGUGAACUAUGCAUGAAUAGGGUGAAGCCAGAGGAAACUCUGGUGGAGGCUCGCAGCGGUUCUGACGUGCAAAUCGAUCGUCAAAUUUGUGCAUAGGGGCGAAAGACCAAUCGAACCAUUAAAGAAUAAUGAAGUGGAGGGUUACCGGGUGGUUCUUGAACAGUCCUUUGGGGCUACAUCGUCCUUCUGGCGGGGAUCAAAACCUGCAGCAGCUGAAGAUCUUCGGCUGUUCACAGACUAGGAGAGCGGUGGUCAUCUUGAUCAAAAAGAUGAUGAUGAUAUAGUCGGUUCAUGGUUAAGAUCUUAACC